GUGAAUGGUGAGAUUAUAUUCUCGAAAUGUUUACGAUCUAGCAUCAUUUAUACCCACAUUAUAUAGGAUGAGUGCCAGAUAAACGCAGGGGAACGGGAAAUAUCGGCGGGUGAUUGCGACGUGCGUUGUUUUAGGAAGAGAUGCGCGCGCACAAUGGCCACGUAUAACAUCACGCGACAUAGAAAAAGAAUCGAGAGAGACGACCGAGAGAGAAUACGUACUCGGUUGUUUCUAGCGUGUGUGCGUGUGCGCGCGCGCGUGUGUGUGUGUGUGUGUGCACGCGUCCGCGCGCCCGCGCGAGGGAGCGUCACGGUGAGAUGAAACGCCAGGAAAAAAGACAAAGAAAGGAUUAUGUAUGGAAAAGAGAAACAGAAAGAGAUAAACGCAACAUUGUCGAGUUCUAUAGUAGUUGAAACACACGCACGCACAUAAGAGCGCUUAUAAUUUUUACGCUACGCGCAGACUCGUGUUGACUAUCGAAGUUUGUUUUCAAUCAGCCAGCAUCGCGUGAACUUGUUGCCCGUAUAAUUGGUAUAGUAUUGCGUGAAAGUUUAACGAACAAAAGCACAUCAUUGUUGCAUCAUCCAUAUCGUAGAUGUGAUAAUCAACCGGAUAUCGAUCAUAUCACGUCGAAUUAACAAAUCGAGAAAAAUGUUCGAUUGCAGAAGGAGCAUGUAUACUUUGUACAAUGCGUUCGUAUAAACGAAUAGGAAAUUGCGCUUUUGGCUUUUUAUACAAUUUUAUAAACAAUCGCUUGAAGACAGCGUUUAAUUUAAACAUCGAGGAGAUUUAAUCGUUGAUCAGAAUCAACAAAUAUUAUUACGUAGAAAUGGAAUGUAUCGAACGAGUUUUUACGCUCUUACCCUGAGAACGCGACAGAUUUCUUGUCUAAACAGAAAAUUUAAAGGACAAUGUUGUUCGGUCGCACAAAAUAACAGCAUAAACCGGUUUCUGCACGUGGCAAGAGUUGCUCGAUCGUGCCCGGUGAACCGGCAGUACCCAACUACAAUACCUACCACCAUGCUAUCGAUUUACGUAACUUUCUUCCACUUUUGACACACAUUCCUCCCUAAGUUAUUUUGAAGUUUCACGAUGACGAAACAGAAGAUAAGGCCAAAUGUGCGUUUGACUACAAGGUGAAAAGGAGUUUAAGGGUUGCGGAUUAUGUAAGUACAUACGUAUGUAACUUGAAGAGGCUUCGUAGCUAUGAAUAAUAAACGAAGGAGGGCAAUGUAAGCAGGUGCCAAAGGGGAAGGCGUAAUCGCGGAGAAACCAAGGAUGAAAAAAGAUAACGAAAGUUGAAUUUUCAAAAUGGUCGCUGCUAUUUCAUAAUCGUUUUUCGAGUUGUCUCAAUUCUGUCACGUGAUGUCGACUGUUUUAGAUAGAAUCGAUCGUUUAAAUCGAUCUGGAAUACAUGUAUUUAUAACGGCGACGUUAGGAAGCUCGAUUACUACGACUUAUCGAACAAUACUUGUAAAACCACGGAGAUGACUACGAAACUGUACUGUACAGACGAUGGGCGGAAAAUGCGGUACAGAUUGAUCGACGUUUGCAACUUGUCGUUGUUUGUACAUCGCAAAUACACAAGAACAUACAUUGUAUAAUCGGACGCCAAACGCGUAGUUGGAUAGUUAUUUUCUGACACUAGCGUGGACAAGCAAAUAUACCGUGCGAGUGAGCGAUAGGAGACCUUUGUACAAUGCGGAGCUGCAAAAAAUGUUGGCGCAAGGAAUGGGGGCCUGAUUGGCUAUUUCGUAUAGACCCAACAAAGUUAUAACGAUAAGCACCGUGUGUUAGCCGAAACCAUCAUAUACGUAUGUAUAUAAAUAAAAGAAUAUAGCAACGGGUGACGGUGAACGAUAGGAAGCACGUAUCUACAUGUGUAAGCAUAAGACGCGAAGAAAAUGAUCCACACAGAAAAUUAGCUCGAGCGCGAGUAAAUCCGAGCAGCCUCGAUUCGAUACGAUCAGACACGAUGACGAAAUUUAAAAUAAGCGCCUAUUCAAACUAUUAGUGUACGUCGUUGUGUUCGCAAUAGAGCAGUAGCAUUCAUAUCGCAUGCGCGGUGAGAUGAUCGCUAUAAUCAAAGAUGGAUUUCGAUGGUGUUCAAGAUGAGAGCGAGAUAACUCGUCAUUGAGUGUCGGUAUCUAAAUUAUUGAAACUAGGGCAUACGAUUAACAAAAUACACUCGCAAAAUGAAGAACGAUUCAUUGGAGAGGAACGUAGAUACUGGAUCAUAUUCGAAAGCUUUCAGAAUAUAUAUUCCACCUUGCGUAAUUAAUGCUGGAUACGUGACGCAGCUUACGCCAUUUCAAAGCGAUUUCUUUGUCGACGACCGAUUCACAUUGAUCUCGAGGGAAGAAGAGUAGAAAAGCGAAAAGCUUAAGCGAUCUUAACCCAAACCGAGCAUGUAAGAAAUAUCGUGUUUCUGCCUGUUACGUAUUUACAUUUCUUCUCCGAUCAACCACGUUGUUUCUCAUUCCGUUCCGACUCUUCGCUCGCUAUCGAGUCGUAUUUACGGUUGAAAUUCAUACCUUCUUGGAAGG
This is a long non-coding RNA of Bombus pyrosoma, 2546 nucleotides long. RefSeq lists it as uncharacterized. The transcript has 3 exons. NCBI's taxonomy places the organism in Eukaryota, Metazoa, Arthropoda, Insecta, Hymenoptera, Apidae. The record is from RefSeq and is a predicted model, not a curated record.